This is a long non-coding RNA of Monopterus albus (swamp eel), 779 nucleotides long. RefSeq lists it as uncharacterized. NCBI's taxonomy places the organism in Eukaryota, Metazoa, Chordata, Actinopteri, Synbranchiformes, Synbranchidae. The transcript has 4 exons. The record is from RefSeq and is a predicted model, not a curated record.
GGGGGACUGAGGACCAAAGUGGACACAUCUGAGAGCAUCAUUGCUGACUCCGUACAAGGGCCCGAUAGAAACGCAGAAAAAAAUUCAUCUGGAAAAUUCAUUACGUGCUAAAGUUGAGGACAUUUUUCUUCAGAGCCUGCUUUGCUUCCGAAACAGAUCCCGCCAUGUCGGGCUAUAGCAUACGAGUGUGGUGGGGAAGUCUGUUUUUGUCUUUGGUUAUCUAGCUGUAUGAGUGUAAAUACGUGUCAUAAAGCUAGAUAACCGAAAGUAGAAAUGACUUCCAUAACGUUGUGUCCAUUCCCGAAAGACAGGGGACUCCUCGGGCUUUAAACUCACUAAGGUGGAUUUUGAAUAUCACCUCAAAAAGGCUUUUUGACGAACACUGGGAUUCCUGAAAAGUAGUAGAACAACAAGGAGUGAGGGGAGAAAAAAAGGUUGGUCCACAAUUGCCACCUCUUCCUCCUCCUCCUCCUCCCUCCUCUUCCCACCCUCGUCCUUUUUUACCCAGAAGCUUCUAAUGCCAUCUGUACUGCCAACGGGGGACACUUUUUCCAUGCCAGGAGGCGGACAAAGUCCCUGCUGGAUCCCCGGAGUAUGAGCAUACUCAGAGGAGCCAUCUUGGGAGAUGUUGCCACGACACCUAAAAUGGCUGGGCUGGCAUACAAGGAUGGGACAGGAUCUGCAAGAGUCUCUGCACCCGGCAGGAACCUCGCCAGAAUAUGAAGAGACUAUCAGUAAACUAAGCAGUGCAAGAAAUGUAAAAAAAAAAAAAAAAAAAA